RNAcentral lists this long non-coding RNA (295 nucleotides) under Physcomitrium patens. RNAcentral describes it as "long non-coding RNA (PPAT_LNC009390)". The record is from RNAcentral. Lineage: Eukaryota; Viridiplantae; Streptophyta; Bryopsida; Funariales; Funariaceae.
CCAAAUCUUAAAUUCUAAAUAAAACCCUAACCAAAUCCUAAUCCAAAUCCUAAACCCUAAAUAAAAUCCUAAUCAAAUCUUAAAUCCUAAACCAAAUCCUAACUAAAAUCUAAAUCCUAAAUCAAACCCUAACCAAACCCUUAUCCAAAUCCUAAACCAAAUCCUAAUACUGUCACGGACACAAAAUACAGACUUGAAAUCUAACUAGAAGUUCAAGAAGAAGUGGCAGAACUAGAUUAAACAGAUGAGUACAAGAACAACACCAGAAAGGUGAGCUAGAACUCCAAGAGAUGUG